UACAGAGGGUGCUAGCGUUAUUCGGAAUGACUGGGCGUAAAGCGCGUGUAGGCGGUUCGGUAAGUCUGAUGUGAAAGCCCCCGACUCAAUCGGGGAAGUGCAUCGGAUACUGCCGGGCUGGAGUGCAGGAGGGGAGAACGGAAUUCCUGGUGUAGAGGUGAAAUUCGUAGAUAUCAGGAGGAACAACGGUGGCGAAGGCGGUUCUCUGGACUGUAACUGACGCUGAGACGCGAAAGCGUGGGGAGCAAACAGG
Molecule: ribosomal RNA, 253 nt
Filed under: uncultured bacterium
Lineage: Bacteria
Description: partial 16S ribosomal RNA
Rfam family: Bacterial small subunit ribosomal RNA
Source: RNAcentral